Molecule: long non-coding RNA, 282 nt
Organism: Ipomoea nil (Japanese morning glory)
Lineage: Eukaryota; Viridiplantae; Streptophyta; Magnoliopsida; Solanales; Convolvulaceae
Exons: 3
Source: RefSeq, a predicted model, not a curated record
UCAGAAGCAACGUUUAGUGCGGGGACACGAGUAAUUGAUUCUUAUCGUGCAUCAUUGCUGCCGGAAAUAGUACAAGCUUUACUCUGUGGGGGUGAUUGGCUUCGACAUAUACACGGAGUUACCAAAAACAAAAAAGAGAAAUCGUAUCAAGAAAUUCAUCUUCCUGUAUCCAACCCAUGAAAGUUAUGUUAGAAUGAUUGUUCCUAAUCUUUUUUGACGGGGCGUUGUUGCUGGAAAGAGUGAAGAUUGAAAAGCAUGGCGAGUGUGAAGUUGAUGUUAAGU